AACCACUUUAUAUAACAAUUAUAAAACUUUUAGCACGGAUCUCUGGGCUCUCGCAACGAUGAAGAACGCAGCGAAUUGCGAAAAGUAAUGUGAAUUGCAUAUACCGUGAAUCAUCAAAUCUUUGAACGCACCUUGCACCAUUGGGAACUCCCGAUGGUACGUCUGUUUGAGUAUCAAUCAACACCUGCAAACUUUGCUUUUAACCGAGCCAUACUUUGCAUAUCGAUUGGAUAGAUAUAUUACUACCGAUUUAGAUACAUAGUCUAGCCACGCUAGUCAACAGAGUUUAACACUUCUGAGUGAUGAAUGUAGCAGCAUGACUGGGGCUCUUGAAGUCUUUAACUUUGAUCUCAAAUCAGACGAGGAUACCCGCUGAACUUAA
This 382-nucleotide ribosomal RNA is filed under the name uncultured fungus. Its description in RNAcentral is "eukaryotic LSU rRNA". The stretch from base 25 to 176 matches the Rfam family "5.8S ribosomal RNA". The record is from RNAcentral. Lineage: Eukaryota; Fungi.